This 182-nucleotide unclassified non-coding RNA is filed under the name plant metagenome. RNAcentral's name for it is "partial contains small subunit ribosomal RNA and internal transcribed spacer 1". The stretch from base 1 to 46 matches the Rfam family "Eukaryotic small subunit ribosomal RNA", at positions 1786 to 1831 of the family's 1831-position model. The record is from RNAcentral.
AAGUCGUAACAAGGUUUCCGUAGGUGAACCUGCGGAAGGAUCAUUAAAGAAUAUGCAGCUUCACGAGCUCUUAUUCUCACCUUUGUAUAUCAACUUUGUUGCUUUGGCAGCGCCUUAGGCCUGCCAGAGGACCGAAACCCUACGAAGUCUCUGCCGCUGAGUCACAUAUAUGAUAGUUAAAA